CAGGGCAAGUACUCGGUGAGUUAAGUUUAAAACGAAGGGGCUUAAUUUAGCGGGCCUAAACCUACGGCCUGUGGGCCUGCAGUGCCAUACUGUCGACAAUUUCAUAUACUGUAUGUGUAUUCAUUUUAGCUUUUCUCACACACAGCUUUUCCCCAACGACGGCUUCCUGCCAGACCUGAGGCUGCAGUUUAAGGAACCAGUACCAACUUCUCCAGUUAGCUUUUCCCCAACGACGGCUUCCUGCCAGACCUGAGGCUGCAGUUUAAGGAACCAGUACCAACUUCUCCAGUUAGCUUUUCCCCAACGACGGCUUCCUGCCAGACCUGAGGCUGCAGUUUAAGGAACCAGUACCAACUUCUCCAGUUAGGGGAGAGCGCGAACGCAGUCCCCCACUACCAGAAAUUAUGCAGUCGAGAUUCCCACAUUUGGGGAAUUCGCAGGGGUCAGCACAACCGGAGU
This is a long non-coding RNA of Solea senegalensis (Senegalese sole), 459 nucleotides long. RefSeq lists it as uncharacterized. The record is from RefSeq and is a predicted model, not a curated record. NCBI's taxonomy places the organism in Eukaryota, Metazoa, Chordata, Actinopteri, Pleuronectiformes, Soleidae. The transcript has 4 exons.